GAUUCCCUGCCCGGCACGUGAUGUGUCGUACAAGUGAGCCAACACUUCACGCAAGGGACUCCGGAGUUUCCGGACAAUGGUCGCGCCCUCAGGGGAAGACCGGAGGACGGAAUAGGAGACCCACCUGAGGCAACACGGUUCAGUUGCUUCCGACGCACACGACCGGGCGGGGUGAAC
RNAcentral lists this non-coding RNA (177 nucleotides) under bacterium. RNAcentral describes it as "6S RNA". It matches the Rfam family "6S / SsrS RNA". From Rfam's summary of the family: E. coli 6S RNA was the first non coding RNA to be sequenced, but its function was unknown until recently. It consists of 184 nucleotides that fold into an extended hairpin structure with a large single-stranded internal bulge. The record is from RNAcentral.